Long non-coding RNA from Gymnodraco acuticeps, 476 nucleotides. RefSeq lists it as uncharacterized. Lineage: Eukaryota; Metazoa; Chordata; Actinopteri; Perciformes; Bathydraconidae. The transcript has 4 exons. The record is from RefSeq and is a predicted model, not a curated record.
UGGCCACCCACCAGCGUCCCUGGCUCUGGGGGGUGUAUGUCUUCACUGUUGGACUUCCAGCCGUUCUCUUCGUCAGCUUCAUGUGGCCUGACAAGAGAUUUGGACCACCAGAUCAAGAGUACUACUAUAAGAAGUCUGAUGACACUCAACCAGAUGAUCCUGAGUUCUCAAAGCAGACAGACGCAGUGGAUAUCAAAGGAACGGCUGACAGAGCUAGAGGAAGAAGGAGAGAUACUCAUGGUAACACGAGGAAGGGUGACCUAGACCUAAAGGAUCAUUGAUAAGUGCAAUCUGAGGAAAGCACCACCACUACAUAAGGGGAGGCUCGGCAAUCACAUCUUUGUCAAGUCAUAUUGAAAUUUGUGAAAAAUAUGUCCUAGGAGUGAUUGUAUUAUUAUUUUCUUGAGAAGAUAAUGUCAUGUCAGUCCACUUGUAAAUGUUUUUACAUAUGAAAUAAAGAUACAAUGUAUAAUGUA